GACGAAUGCUGGCGGCGUGCCUAAUACAUGCAAGUUGAGCGAUGAAGAUUGGUGCUUGCACCAAUUUGAAGAGCAGCGAACGGGUGAGUAACGCGUGGGGAAUCUGCCUUUGAGCGGGGGACAACAUUUGGAAACGAAUGCUAAUACCGCAUAACAACUUUAAACAUAAGUUUUAAGUUUGAAAGAUGCAAUUGCAUCACUCAAAGAUGAUCCCGCGUUGUAUUAGCUAGUUGGUGAGGUAAAGGCUCACCAAGGCGGUGAUACAUAUCCCAACUGAGAGGGUGAUCGGCCACAUUGGGACUGGAUCACGGCCCAAACUCCUCCGGAGGGCAGGAGUAGGGAAUCUUCGGCAAUGGACGAAAGUCUGACCGAGCAACGCCGCGUGAGUGAAGAAGGUUUUCGGAUCGUAAAACUCUGUUGGUAGAGAAGAACGUUGGUGAGAGUGGAAAGCUCAUCAAGUGACGGUAACUACCCAGAAAGGGACGGCUAACUACGUGCCAGCAGCCGCGGUAA
This 513-nucleotide ribosomal RNA is filed under the name uncultured bacterium. RNAcentral describes it as "partial 16S ribosomal RNA". It matches the Rfam family "Bacterial small subunit ribosomal RNA", at positions 28 to 523 of the family's 1533-position model. The record is from RNAcentral.